UCUCGGGGCCCUCAGGCCAGAGUGGGGCAGCAAAGCACCUAUGGAGCUGACUACAAGCCCCCCAGUGAUCGGCACCUCAGGCUGUUCAGGCUGCAUGCAGAGCCGUCUUGCACCACACACCAGAAGUUGGCGGAUAUGUGGGCUCAGUACUACAGACAGUGUUUCCAGACCAUUACCAACGGCCCACAGAACCCCGCCUUUGCCUUCCCUCAGGUGAGUCCCUCAGACACAAGAACUUACUUGUCUUUCCUGUCCCCCUUGACUGGCAUACCUUAGGGGCAUUUCAUGGUAGAUGCAUUGAUAUUAUCUUAUCUUAGUCAGACUCAAACCUCUCUCUCUCUCCACCUCUAUCCCCUCUCUCUCUCCACCUCUCUCACCCUCUCUCUCCACCUCUCACCCUCUCUGUCUCUCUUCUCUCUCCACCUCUCUCCCCUCUCUCUCUCUCUCUCUCCACUUCUCACCCUCUCUCUCUCCACCUCUCUCUCCAUCUCCCCUCUCUCUCAUCCUCUCUCUCACCCUCUCUGUCUCUCACCCUCUCUGUCUCUCUUCUCUCCCCUCUCUCUCAUCCUCUCUCUCUGUGUCUCUCCCCUCUCUCUCAUCCUCUCUCUCUCUCUGUGUCUCUCCCCUCUCUCUCUGUCUCUCACCCUCUCUGUCUCUCUUCUCUCCCCUCUCUCUCAUCCUCUCUCUCUCUGUGUCUCUUCUCUCCAUCUCCCCUCUCUCUCAUCCUCUCUCUGUGUCUCUCCUCUCCAUCUCCCCUCUCUCUCAUCCUCUCUCUCUGUCUCUCUUCUCUCCAUCUCCCCUCUCUCUCAUCCUCUCUCUCACCCUCUCUGUCUCUCACCCUCUCUGUCUCUCUUCUCUCCCCUCUCUCUCAUCCUCUCUCUGUCUCUCCCCUCUCUCUCAUCCUCUCUCUCUGUGUCUCUCCUCUCUCUCACCCUCUCUGUCUCUCUUCUCUCCCCUCUCUCUCAUCCUCUCUCUCUGUGUCUCUCCCCUCUCUCUCAUCCUCUCUCUCUGUCUCUCUUCUCUCCCCUCUCUCUCUGUGUCUCUCUACAGAAGGGGAGACCAGUGAGGGCAGCUACGUUGGACAGUGAGAGUUUCAGUAAGAUCCAAGUGGAAAGGACAGCUCCUCCAGAGAAGGGGCAGAGCCAGAUACCACCACAGCGUUCGAGCUCCGACUCUGGGGAACGAAGGUCGGUCUCUCCCUCUCUCUCCUUAACCUCAGUCCAUAACUCCCUCCCAUCCCGCCCUGCAAGGAAAGAGGCAUGGACACAUGCAACAGGGGACCCGGCACUGGGGGUCACAACGACACCCAAGGACAUGGUGGAGCUGCCUCACAUCGGCAGUGGAGAAGGAAGUGAUGGGGAGCUCCCGCUGCAGGUGGAGCGGUUAAGGGCGGAGCAGUUCCGUCGGGACAUGACCCACUCAUCUAGGCUGGAAGGCCAGAUCAACCAGCGCAUAGCCACCCAGUCUAACCUCAUGCACCUAGGGCUGCCAUUCAACGGUGUGACCACCUACAGCCAGAGUUACACACACUGGGACAACUCCUCCACACUGAGAGGCCCGCAGUGCAUCCUUCCUGAAGCCACACUCAACUGGAGGGCCUGGGUGUCAGAGUACCAGGACCGGUACCAGGGCCCGGAUCGCUACGUCCCUGGGCAGAGGAAGCCCCCUAGCGGCCUGAAGGAGCCCUGCACCGCCGAGUACCAGCCUGGUGCCCACACCGCAGACCAGACCCGAGGACACAUCUGCUCAGAGUAUCAGAGGCACUUCACUAAGAAGAGCUACCCUGGCCUGUCCAGACCCAAGACCAGCCCUGCGUACAGACAGAACAGAGACAACUGA
Molecule: long non-coding RNA, 1839 nt
Organism: Oncorhynchus kisutch (coho salmon)
Lineage: Eukaryota; Metazoa; Chordata; Actinopteri; Salmoniformes; Salmonidae
Source: Ensembl